This 1803-nucleotide long non-coding RNA is filed under the name Phascolarctos cinereus (koala). RNAcentral's name for it is "lncRNA (ENSPCIG00000028019.2)". Lineage: Eukaryota; Metazoa; Chordata; Mammalia; Diprotodontia; Phascolarctidae. The record is from RNAcentral.
AGUGGGUAUGGACUACACUGCCUACUUCCAUUAGCCUGGUACCAAUGAUCAUAUUUUACAUAAUUAUAACUUGGAAUAAAAGUUAAUAAAAUAAAAUUUUUUACCUCUCAUAAUAACAAUGAUGAUGAUGAUAAUGGUAACUUGUGCUGACAAUAAUGUGCAGCAAAGGCAGGGAGUGUGUGAAGGAUGUUUGGGGAAAAGCAAGCUCAGCAGUAACAUUUUUAGGUUUCCAAGACUGAUGACACAGCUGGCCCACUGGAGACCCGGGCAGUGGGAGGAUCCUCAUUAGUGUAAAUAAAUAGGAGGCUCUGGUCCUGAAAACAGCCCAGAUGAGAUUCAAAUCCAGAUUCAGAUUGUUGAAUCAAGCCUGGCUCAUCCUCCUCUCCCUUAUCAAGGCAGAAUGAAAUCCACUGCUGCCUCCGUGGUUGUGGCUCUGCUCAUGGUUAUCAAUUACUCUUCAGUCCAAGGUAUACUGGAGACCAACGAUGCCAGCCAGAAGUGCAGGUGCCUCAAGCUGUCAGAAGGCGUCCCUGUACGCUUGAUUAAAACCAUAUUUAUUUCACCACCUAACGGAGGCUGCCGAAAUACAGAAUGCGUAGUCACAUUGAAAUCUGGGAAGAAAGUAUGUGUGGAUCCAAAGUGCAAAUGGUUAGACAAUAUCAUCAAAAAUGUAAUAAGAGUCUUUUUGAAGGAUAAGGAAAAAGUAUGUGUGGAUCCAAAGAGCAAAUGGCUACAGAAUGCCAUAAAUAAUUUGCUAAGAUUGCCAAGUGCCCCAACAAGAAAUCCUGCUAGACGCUUGCUCAACUAUAUGUAAGAUCGUCUGAGCUCAUCUUCCUUCGCAUUAAGAAUUCUCACUUCUUUUACUAAUUUUUUUUAAAAAAUUCCAAUGAAAGGCUCUUUCUAGCCACUUCUUCCUAGAAACAAAUUGCCAAAAUGACCUUUCUGAAGCAAUUCAGCAACACAUUAGCUUCUCUCUAGGAAGCAAUCCAGUGCUUGAUUUACAUAUACUUAGUCAACAUUAGUAAAUAAGUUUCCUAGAAAUAUUUAAAGGUUCUUUCAUAUCAAUCUUAACCAGUAGUAGAAGUGAGGCUGACCAUGCAAGAACCCUAGUUGUCACACAAAGACUUUCCUCUAAAUGGAAGAAUAGCUUAGAUAUCAAAUUGGAGCAACCAGCAUGAGUUAGGAAGGGAAGCAAGGAAUCGUUUCUUCACCUGUGGGUUUCUGAAAUUACAAAGCUGCCCACAGAAUUCACAUAAUUUUAAUUGGAUUGUCCAGACAAAGUCAUGGGCAAUUGAACCUCUUGAGCACAUAUGAGGUUAAAAAGAUUGGGACUUGUUGACCCUAAAAUUCCCUCCACCUUAGUAAACUGUAACAAAGGAAAGCCAAACGAUGGUGUCUGUCAUGCUGCUGACAUUGAUAUUAUGCCAGAGGUUGUGUGGGUAAAACACAAUGACUCUGCGAACAAUAGAUUUGCAAUGAAAUCCCACCUAUGAUGGUUACCCCCUGUGUAACCCUAAAUAAGUCACUGAGCCUUUGUGGCAUUAAAUCCCUCAUCUCUAAAAUGCAAGGAAUUGGAUGAGAUAGCCCCCAAAGUCUUUUCCAAGCCUCCACCUAGCAUCCUUCAAAGAGACACCCCAGAAUUAAACCCAGAGCCAUCGGAAUUAUUUAUAGCUAAGCUUGUCUUACAAAUCUCUUGCCUUCUAUGAUGUGCUACAUACCAAGGAGUAGACAAUUUGGAACAUAAAUGUAUUUCUUCUAAAGUGUACCACUCAUGUGCUGUUCUUCAAUAAACACAAACAGAUG